RNAcentral lists this ribosomal RNA (408 nucleotides) under uncultured bacterium. RNAcentral's name for it is "bacterial SSU rRNA". It matches the Rfam family "Bacterial small subunit ribosomal RNA", at positions 355 to 775 of the family's 1533-position model. The record is from RNAcentral.
UGGGGAAUAUUGGACAAUGGGCGAAAGCCUGAUCCAGCAACGCCGCGUGAGGGAUGACGGCCUUCGGGUUGUAAACCUCUUUCAGUAGGGACGAAGCGAGAGUGACGGUACCUACAGAAGAAGGACCGGCCAACUACGUGCCAGCAGCCGCGGUAAUACGUAGGGUCCGAGCGUUGUCCGGAAUUAUUGGGCGUAAAGGGCUCGUAGGCGGUUUGUCGCGUCGGGAGUGAAAACUUGGGGCUUAACCCCAUUCGUGCUUCCGAUACGGGCAGACUAGAGGCAGGCAGGGGAGAACGGAAUUCCUGGUGUAGCGGUGGAAUGCGCAGAUAUCAGGAGGAACACCGGUGGCGAAGGCGGUUCUCUGGGCCUGUUCUGACGCUGAGGAGCGAAAGCAUGGGGAGCGAACAG